Lolium rigidum is the source of this 271-nucleotide long non-coding RNA. RefSeq lists it as uncharacterized. The record is from RefSeq and is a predicted model, not a curated record. The transcript has 3 exons. Lineage: Eukaryota; Viridiplantae; Streptophyta; Magnoliopsida; Poales; Poaceae.
AACACCCUACCCUAUCAAAUCGAUCAAAUCGAGAAAUUUGAGAGGAUACUUGAAAUCUUGUUAAGUCACACGCAUGCCCUCAUAGCAAGGCUUAAUAUCAGAGGAACCGCCGGUAAUGAUGUAUAGUGAUCUUGGUAUGCAAGUAUGAUCAGGAUCAUUUGGUGGCCUGCGCCCACUUGUUCUUUGCUUCUUAGUGAUGCUCCUGGUGUAUUCUUAUUGGAGGAAACGACACUACUUCAUAUUAUUGGGUUAUUGAAUGUCUUGAUGGCAC